Molecule: long non-coding RNA, 2679 nt
Filed under: Gossypium barbadense (sea-island cotton)
Lineage: Eukaryota; Viridiplantae; Streptophyta; Magnoliopsida; Malvales; Malvaceae
Description: long non-coding RNA (GBAR_LNC011318)
Source: RNAcentral
GCUGAUCCCUUUCGCUGUAUGGCGUGCUCGUUUGGGUUGGGCGUCGGCUAAGAGUGCUCGGAGCUUGGAUGAACUCCAGUCGCCAAUCAGGUGUGUAUUUCUCGCUACUCUAGCUGUAGGAUGGCUACUUCGGGCCGCGAUGGGCGGAAAGGGGUCAUGUGGGCCCAAUGGGCCUACGGGCCCAAUUGGAUAAGUUGUUUGAUUGUGUAGUAAAUAUUAGACUAGGCUAGGUGAAUCUCAUAUCUGUGGCUAGAUCUGGGCUAAAAGGGCCACACGAGCGUGUGGGCCCAUUUGGGCCGAGAAUAGGCUUUAGGCCCAUUCGUAUUGUUAUCCUUGUUUAGAAUACUUUAGUUUACCAAAUUACUGAAAUACCCUCAAAUUGUAAAAUUACCAAAGUACCAUUGAUUUAUAGAAUUACUGUUUUACCCUCGAUUUACAGAAUUACCGUUUUACCCUCGAUUUAUAGAAUUACUGUUUUACCCUUGAUUUACAGAAUUACUGUUUUACCCUCGAUUUACAAAAUUACUAAAAUACCAUCGGUUUACAAAAUUACCAAAAUACCCUCGAUCAGUAAAAUUACCAAAAUACCCUAGUCUGUAAAAUUGCUAAAAUACCCUUAGUUUGUAAAAUUACCAAAAUACCCUCAAUUUGUAAAAUUACCAAAAUACCCCUAGUUUGUAAAAUUACCAAAAUACCACUGGUUUGUGAAAUUACCGAAAUACCCUCAAUUUGUAAAAUUACCAAAAUACCCCUGAUUUACAAAGUUACAGAAAUACCCUUGACUUUCUAAAAAUUAUGGAAAUACCAUUGGUUUAACAAAACUACUGAAAUACCCUUGGUUUGUAGAUUUACCAAAACACCCUUGUAGGAUGAAAUGACUAAAAUACCCCUAUUAGGUAAAAAGACCGUAAAGCCCCUGUAGGGUAAAGUGACCGUAAUACCCCUGUAUGGUAAAAUGACGAAUAUGCCCUUAUGUUCCGUAUGACUGAUGUGCUUAGGAUUUACAUAUAUUGAUAUUGGAUUAGUUAAGUUUGAGUGACAGGUGGUGGUUAUCGUAGGCGAUUGAUUUUGGAAACGUUUCAACUUCAACUCGUAACAGGUGUGUACUAACCCUCGUAAUAGCUUAGAUUAAUAUUUGUUGAGAAGCCGAAAUGCUAAAAUACCGGUAUUUCGGGAACUUGUAAUGUUGCGUUUGGGUAGAUGCGAUAAAUACGAUAAGAUCAGUGUUUGGAUCGAUGGAAAAGGUAAGAACUCAAUUUUGUGCACGAUGGUAAGUUGAGCCUCAAUGGGCUAAAAUUGGGCCCAAUGGGCUUUCAGACCCAUUUGGGUAGAAUUGAUAGAAAAUGGAAUUUGGAAAAGUUGCACUUUAACACGGUUAGUAUUGUUGUAAAAUUUGGGUUAAGUAGGCUAAAUCAGCAUUCUUAGGGCCCAUUAGGGGUUUUGGGCCCAAAAGCCUGAAUUUGAUAAAGUGGGUUAAAGAUCAUUGUUUAAACACUCUGAAAAAUUGAUAAUUGUAAUGAACAUGGAAAACCCUUAUAUUUGGUAAAAUUACGACAAUACCCUUAUAAUGUGAAAAAUGACUGUUGUGCCCUUGUGGGCAAGUGACUGACUUGGACUGUGUGGUUGACGGAUUUGAUUGUGAAUAUAUGUUGGUGAUAUGAAUGACUUGACUGUGAUUGUUUAAUUCAAAUAUGGGCGUGACAUUUUGCAUACAUGACAUGUUUCAUUGGGUUGGGUUUUUAUAUGGAUGGAGGAAGUGCAAAAGGGCUUAUGCCCUAGUUUACCGAAAAGGGCUUAUGCCCCAGUUUAUUGAAAAGGGCUUAUGCCCCAGUUUACCGAAAAGGGCUUAUGCCCCAGUUUAUUGAAAAGGGCUUAUGCCCCAGUUUACCGAAAAGGGCUUUGCCCCAGUUAUUAAAGAGGCUAGGCCUCUAGAUAUAUGAUAAAGCAGCUAUGCUGCCAGUGGUGUGUUGGUUGGGUGGGUUGAGUUAUUCCCCACAUGGUGUGUUGGUUGGUACGGGUGGAGAGUAGCGGAUGGUGGGUUGAGUAGUCUCCCCAAAUGGGCUUGCAUACAUUAAUUGGUAUUUCAUGUGAUAUUGAAAUGGGCUUGCAUAUAUCCAUUGACAUUACAUGUGAUAUUGAAACGGGCCUAUGGGCCAUACCGUUUACAGUAAAGUCUUCGGCCCAGUGAAAUGAUUUAUGAAAAGGCUUUGGCCCAGUGAUAUGAUUUAUGAAAAGGCUUCGACCCAGUAAUCGUUAAACGAAAGGCUUCGGCCCAGUAUAUGCCAAGACUAAAUAGGGCUUUGACCCAGAUUGUACUGAUACUGUGUUUUCACUGUUUGUUUGUUAUUGGGAUUACACACUGAGUUUUCGUAAACUCACCCCGUUUCUAACUGUGCAGGUAAUCCCUAAGCUUAGAUGGUUUGGAGCUGCUAGGGACUCGGAGAUGGCCACACUACUGUUUCUAUUUCUUUUAAUUGCAAUAAGUAGCCGAUUUAUUUCUUUAUAAGUUUUAUCUUAUUAAUAUUAUUGUUUGGUUUUGGGUUGUAAUAAGGCCAUUUUAAUUAUUUUUCUGGGAUUAUUUUAUUUUUAAUAACUUUAAUCUGUUUGUUAAUAAAUGGGCUAGACUUAGGACGUGUUUUCAAAAUGAUAAUUGUUUUCAAAAUAACACCAUGGCACGAU